GAAGAACAGAAGAGAUGUAGAAUGUUUAAGAUUCUAUUCAAAAUUUAACAAUUUGGUCAACAAAAAAAUAAUAAUAAUGGUAGUAAUGAACUGAAGAUGAACUGAUAUAUUGAUUUGCAGCUUUCUUUCAAUUGCAUCAUAGCUCAUGCCAUAUGCCACACCUAUAUUGACUAGCAAGAGAUGCAACCUGUUUUGAUGCUUGACUUUGAAAAUCUUAAUGCUCACUUGUUAACAAAA
Molecule: non-coding RNA, 237 nt
Organism: Coffea arabica (coffee)
Lineage: Eukaryota; Viridiplantae; Streptophyta; Magnoliopsida; Gentianales; Rubiaceae
Source: RefSeq, a predicted model, not a curated record